This is a long non-coding RNA of Clupea harengus (Atlantic herring), 588 nucleotides long. RefSeq lists it as uncharacterized. The transcript is spliced from 3 exons. The record is from RefSeq and is a predicted model, not a curated record. NCBI's taxonomy places the organism in Eukaryota, Metazoa, Chordata, Actinopteri, Clupeiformes, Clupeidae.
AGAAAGAAAGAAAGAAAGAAAGACAGACAGACAGACAGACAAAGAAAGAAAGAAAGACAGAAUGCGGCUUGGUUGGAGAGAAUGUUUCAUUUAUAUUCUUGUAACACUCUGUCUUCUUACUCUAACACUCUCCUUCUGUGAACUUGUGUCCUUGGAUGUUUGUUUUGCCCUUCUCUUUCUGUGCUUUCCUUACCUUACCUCCUGUCCCCCUGUCCUGAAAUCUCUCUCCCUCUCCUCUCCAGAUGCCCGCCCUCGUCCCGUCCGGUGUCUGAGCGUGUGUGUGUGCUCGCGUGUUCAGUCGACUGCAUAGUCACUCCCUUUAGUGAAUGGAGCCCCUGUCCUAACACCUGCAGUACAGUAAAUACUACCGCAGUUAGCCAGUCACGUCACAGGAUCAUUAUCCAAAGAGCAGCCGAUGGGGGCCAGGACUGCCCCGACACACUUUAUGAGGAGAGAGAGUGUGAACCCGCUCCUGCCUGUCCAACUUACAGGUGGCAGACCCACCGCUGGCGCAAGUGCAUUCUGGUCCCUGACUCAGUGAGGCAGGCAGUGGGGGCUUCCACGGAGUCCUGCGGCCAGGGUCUGGAA